AGUGAACGCUGGCGGCGUGCCUAAUACAUGCAAGUCGAACGAUGAAGCUUCUAGCUUGCUAGAAUGCUGAUUAGUGGCGCACGGGUGAGUAACGCAUAGGUCAUGUGCCUCUUAGUUUGGGAUAGCCAUUGGAAACGAUGAUUAAUACCAGAUACUCCCUACGGGGGAAAGAUUUAUCGCUAAGAGAUCAGCCUAUGUCCUAUCAGCUUGUUGGUAAGGUAAUGGCUUACCAAGGCUAUGACGGGUAUCCGGCCUGAGAGGGUGAACGGACACACUGGAACUGAGACACGGUCCAGACUCCUACGGGAGGCAGCAGUAGGGAAUAUUGCUCAAUGGGGGAAACCCUGAAGCAGCAACGCCGCGUGGAGGAUGAAGGUUUUAGGAUUGUAAACUCCUUUUGUUAGAGAAGAUAAUGACGGUAUCUAACGAAUAAGCACCGGCUAACUCCGUGCCAGCAGCCGCGGUAAUACGGAGGGUGCAAGCGUUACUCGGAAUCACUGGGCGUAAAGAGCGCGUAGGCGGGAUAGUCAGUCAGGUGUGAAAUCCUAUGGCUUAACCAUAGAACUGCAUUUGAAACUACUAUUCUAGAGUGUGGGAGAGGUAGGUGGAAUUCUUGGUGUAGGGGUAAAAUCCGUAGAGAUCAAGAGGAAUACUCAUUGCGAAGGCGACCUGCUGGAACAUUACUGACGCUGAUUGUGCGAAAGCGUGGGGAGCAAACAGGAUUAGAUACCCUGGUAGUCCACGCCCUAAACGAUGGAUGCUAGUUGUUGGAGGGCUUAGUCUCUCCAGUAAUGCAGCUAACGCAUUAAGCAUCCCGCCUGGGGAGUACGGUCGCAAGAUUAAAACUCAAAGGAAUAGACGGGGACCCGCACAAGCGGUGGAGCAUGUGGUUUAAUUCGAAGAUACACGAAGAACCUUACCUAGGCUUGACAUUGAGAGAAUCCGCUAGAAAUAGUGGAGUGUCUGGCUUGCCAGACCUUGAAAACAGGUGCUGCACGGCUGUCGUCAGCUCGUGUCGUGAGAUGUUGGGUUAAGUCCCGCAACGAGCGCAACCCCCUUUCUUAGUUGCUAACAGGUCAUGCUGAGAACUCUAAGGAUACUGCCUCCGUAAGGAGGAGGAAGGUGGGGACGACGUCAAGUCAUCAUGGCCCUUACGCCUAGGGCUACACACGUGCUACAAUGGGGUGCACAAAGAGAAGCAAUACUGCGAAGUGGAGCCAAUCUUCAAAACACCUCUCAGUUCGGAUUGUAGGCUGCAACUCGCCUGCAUGAAGCUGGAAUCGCUAGUAAUCGCAAAUCAGCCAUGUUGCGGUGAAUACGUUCCCGGGUCUUGUACUCACCGCCCGUCACACCAUGGGAGUUGUGUUUGCCUUAAGUCAGGAUGCUAAAUUGGCUACUGCCCACGGCACACACAGCGACUGGGGUG
Molecule: ribosomal RNA, 1426 nt
Filed under: Helicobacter pylori
Lineage: Bacteria; Pseudomonadati; Campylobacterota; Epsilonproteobacteria; Campylobacterales; Helicobacteraceae
Description: bacterial SSU rRNA
Rfam family: Bacterial small subunit ribosomal RNA
Source: RNAcentral